This 2514-nucleotide long non-coding RNA is filed under the name Homo sapiens (human). Its description in RNAcentral is "HSALNT0307904". The record is from RNAcentral. Lineage: Eukaryota; Metazoa; Chordata; Mammalia; Primates; Hominidae.
CCCUGGUUUAAUAAGGACUUGUUUAUUUUGAGGAAAAAAGGUCCCAAACAUCAGGCUGUUCACAAAAAUAACCCACAGUAUCAACUUUAGAAAACAAAUCUUAAGACUAUAACACUAAUUAUUUUUCUAGAGGAUGCAUUUGACAUGCCAACUCUCAUUCACAAAAAUACAUUGUUACAUUUGUGUUGAACUGCCCCACACAGCACACUAAUGUGGGGGUGUAACACACAUACUUCUAACUCAAAGCUGCUUUCAAGAGCUACUCAACUAAAUGAGAUUGCCUUUGCAGUUAGGGAAGCAACUACUGAACUUAUGUAUGAAUGAAAAGAACUGUACUCCCUGCAUAACAAGAGAUUAUUUUGGAGACAGUUGAUAAAAACCAUACAUCAUUUUUAUUGUUAAGUCAUAAAGAGGUAUCAAAAUUAAAAGCAAAAAUUACAGGGUAAGACUUAACAAAACUACUAGGAGCGUCAAAGGAAGUGAAAAUGGGACUAGGCGCGGGGCAAUAUGAAUUAAUUAAUGAACAUGGGAAGGACAAGGAUGGGGAAAACAGUGAGCAUGUGCUGAAGAUACUAGGGGAGAGGAUCUGGUGAAAAAUUUGAUCUUAGACAAGCGCCUAGGUAAAGAAAUAAUGGGAUAAGAUUUCUAAACCCCACUAUGUGCUUAAGAGUCAUCCUCGCCAUUGGCGCUGUCUCUGUCAUCCUCUCCUUCCUCAGCCUCUUUUUCAUCAUCCUUGAUCAACUCCAGCUGGUCAUCCCCCCAUCUUCAUUAUCAUCAUCAUCCAGUAGGUCCCCCUCCUCAGCAGAGUCAUCUGCACCCCCCUCAGACUCCAUCUUCACAUUAGUCUCAUCUUUCUUCACGGAGCUGCUGCUCUGCUCCUCUUCUGACUUAACAUUGUUCAUCUCUACUGCUUGUUUGCUCUGUUCCUUUUCAAUUUUUUCCAGGUUUUCCAGGAAAGAAUCCACUUUUUGUUUUAUCUGGGUCAGCUCCCUCUUAAUGGCCUGAAGGUCAUCUCCUUUCAACUUUCCAGACUUGGAAGAUCCCCGCUGUCCACUCUUAGAAUUGAAGCCACUUAUGCCCCUUUGUGAAGUGUUUCCUGAUACACGCUGACGUUUCGAGGGCACUACAGCCCGAGCAAUAGGAGGAGGAGGAGGUACACGUGCUGGGUAACUGUACAUCCUAUCAUAAUAGUCCCGUUGAAAGUCACAAUCCAAGUCAAAAGAGGAGCCGUACAUCUCCGCUGCAGAUCGUUUCACACCUGCUUUUCCUCGGUUCACUUUUGGCUCUGCAGCCAGGUUAAUAUCUAAAACCUGGCCAGCAAUCAUUCUGCCAUCCUCUCCUGCUACAGCAGCCCGGGCAUUUCUCUCAUUAACAUACUGAAAGAAGGCAAAGCCCUUAUGAACAGAGCAGCCCACAAUUUUGCCAUACUUCGAAAAGAUUGCCUCCACAUCAGAUUUCUUGACCACAAGAGUGUUGAGAUUCCCAAUGAAUACACGGGAGUUCAUGGAACGAGGAUCUGUCUUGUUGGUAACGUUGCUGGCCAUUGUGUUUGAUGCAGAAAUUCCGCUGAAAUGAUAGUUAAGGAAUCAUAAAGGUAUAAUUCCACAAAGACAAAGAAAAAAGAAAAAAGGUCUAUCAGUGGGUGAGAAAGUUCACAUUUCCUGAUGAUAUAAAGUAGAUGGAGGUGUAGCAAUUGACUUUGCACAACAGAAGGGGCCAGAAUAAGUUAUCCUGAUGAGAAGAAAGACAAUACACCCUGAAAAUCCUAGAAAGCAUUAACCCUUGAAGGCAUCAAGUACCGGAAGACAGGUCAGUUGAACUUACGAAUGCAGAACCCAUGGUUAGAGAGGGCCAGCUGUACAGAUAAAAGCAAGCACAAAGGUGGCUGGCACGAUGGCCGAACAGGAACAGCUCUGGUCUGCAGCUCCCAGUGAGAUCAACACAGAAGGCAGGAAUCUAGCGCUUCAGGAUUAUGUGCACUCUUGCUAAUCCAAGUGUUAUCCCUGAACCAGCAGCAUCAGCAUCACCAGAGAACUUGCUGGAAAUGCAGAAUAUCAGACUCUACCCCAGACCUACUUAAUCAGAGAAGCCCAGAGAGAUUCAUAUGCACAUUAAAGUUGGAGAAGUCCCAUACUCAUAUACUAGCAUAAACAGAGUAUCCUCAAACUCAUAACAAAGAAACCUACAAAACAUGAAGUACUGUCCUUUCAAUUUAGGGGCAGAGGAUUGGACAUUUUAUUUUAUUUUUUUAUGGGGGAAUACAGCUAAAACUGAAUUGCUUCAAUAAAGUCUUUGACAAUUUAAAAGCUGAAUGUGUGUGUGUGGCUGGGAAUCUUGUUUUCAUCUGGGAUCAAGAAUUAUUACUAUGUAUAUGGGGAAGUGUUUCUUCUACAACAGCUAUUGACUAAGAAAACUAAGGAGAAAAGACCAAAAAAGAGUGCAAAUAACUUCAAAAUAGAUAACGAGUAUCAUACGUAUUUAGUAAUUUACAUGUAAAAAUGUAGAAUUUUUUUU